This is a non-coding RNA of Vicia faba (fava bean), 201 nucleotides long. NCBI's taxonomy places the organism in Eukaryota, Viridiplantae, Streptophyta, Magnoliopsida, Fabales, Fabaceae. The record is from the annotation of a GenBank genome assembly.
AUGAUACUCUCCGAAACAAGCUACAUCAACUCGAUCUACAUCGCCGUCCGCGACUCUGAUCACCACACACGUCACGGAACACGUCCUUGCCUUCGACAACCUCAAUACCGACCGUCGCUCGGUACCUUAAUCCUUCCUUCUUUGUUGAUUUCAAUCAUUUUUAUAUUGUGUUGUUGUUUGAGUUUUGUUUGUAAAUUUUGA